ACGACUCUCGGCAACGGAUAUCUCGGCUCUCGCAUCGAUGAAGAACGUAGCGAAAUGCGAUACUUGGUGUGAAUUGCAGAAUCCCGUGAACCAUCGAGUCUUUGAACGCAAGUUGCGCCCRAAGCCGUCAGGCCAAGGGCACGUCUGCCUGGGUGUCACGCA
RNAcentral lists this ribosomal RNA (162 nucleotides) under Reseda lanceolata subsp. lanceolata. RNAcentral's name for it is "5.8S ribosomal RNA". It matches the Rfam family "5.8S ribosomal RNA". Rfam says of the family: 5.8S ribosomal RNA (5.8S rRNA) is a component of the large subunit of the eukaryotic ribosome. It is transcribed by RNA polymerase I as part of the 45S precursor that also contains 18S and 28S rRNA. Lineage: Eukaryota; Viridiplantae; Streptophyta; Magnoliopsida; Brassicales; Resedaceae. The record is from RNAcentral.